Molecule: ribosomal RNA, 466 nt
Filed under: uncultured bacterium
Lineage: Bacteria
Description: partial 16S ribosomal RNA
Rfam family: Bacterial small subunit ribosomal RNA
Source: RNAcentral
GACGAACGCUGGCGGCGUGCUUAACACAUGCAAGUCGAACGGAAAGGCCCUGCUUGCAGGGUACUCGAGUGGCGAACGGGUGAGUAACACGUGGGUGAUCUGCCCUGCACUUCGGGAUAAGCUUGGGAAACUGGGUCUAAUACCGGAUAGGAACCAUCUUUAGUGUGGUGGUUGGAAAGUUUUUUCGGUGUAGGAUGAGCUCGCGGCCUAUCAGCGUGUUGGUGGGGUAAUGGCCUACCAAGGCGGCGACGGGUAGCCGGCCUGAGAGGGUGUACGGCCACAUUGGGACGGAGAUACGGCCCAGACUCCUACGGGAGGCAGCAGUGGGGAAUAUUGCACAAUGGGCGCAAGCCUGAUGCAGCGACGCCGCGUGGGGGAUGAAGGCCUUCGGGUUGUAAACUCCUUUCGCUAGGGACGAAGCUUUGUUGUGACGGUACCUAGAUAAGAAGCACCGGCUAACUACGUG